GCCGGUGUAGCUCAGGGGUAGAGCGCAUCCUUGGUAAGGAUGAGGUCAUGAGUUCAAUUCCCAUCACCGGCUCUA
Molecule: transfer RNA, 75 nt
Filed under: Bacteroides sp. CAG:545
Lineage: Bacteria; Pseudomonadati; Bacteroidota; Bacteroidia; Bacteroidales; Bacteroidaceae
Also listed under: 3 other names
Description: transfer RNA-Thr(GGT)
Rfam family: tRNA
About the family: Transfer RNA (tRNA) molecules are approximately 80 nucleotides in length. Their secondary structure includes four short double-helical elements and three loops (D, anti-codon, and T loops).
Source: RNAcentral